UACUUGAUUUUACUUGUGAGCCAAUUGAAAUCAAAACAUGGUAAUUUACAAAAAUUCAACUUGAAUUGUUUAGGGAGCAGAAAAAGGUUAAAACUGAAAAAACGAACCGAACCGAUCUGGUUCAGUCAUUAAUUUUAGAAAAAUUAGGUUUUUAGAUCGGUUCGUUUAUUUUCACCAAAAAACUGAAAAUAAACCAAACUAACUGAAAUGGGCUGCUUCUCUUUUAUGUUAUAGAACUCAUGUCCAUUAAAUAAAAGCCCAGCCAAUUCCUGCCCCCUUAAGGCCUAAACGUAAAACUUCCUUAAUUCCUUCUCCUCUGCACUGCAUUCAUCUUCUCCUCUGCCCAAGUCUGAAAACCCAACUUCCCAGUGAUCCCUUGAUCCCUUCU
RNAcentral lists this unclassified non-coding RNA (388 nucleotides) under Hevea brasiliensis (rubber tree). The record is from RNAcentral. Lineage: Eukaryota; Viridiplantae; Streptophyta; Magnoliopsida; Malpighiales; Euphorbiaceae.